UGGGGAAUUUUGGACAAUGGGCGAAAGCCUGAUCCAGCAAUGCCGCGUGUGUGAAGAAGGCCUUCGGGUUGUAAAGCACUUUUGUCCGGAAAGAAAUCCUUGGCUCUAAUACAGUCGGGGGAUGACGGUACCGGAAGAAUAAGCACCGGCUAACUACGUGCCAGCAGCCGCGGUAAUACGUAGGGUGCAAGCGUUAAUCGGAAUUACUGGGCGUAAAGCGUGCGCAGGCGGUUUGCUAAGACCGAUGUGAAAUCCCCGGGCUCAACCUGGGAACUGCAUUGGUGACUGGCAGGCUAGAGUAUGGCAGAGGGGGGUAGAAUUCCACGUGUAGCAGUGAAAUGCGUAGAGAUGUGGAGGAAUACCGAUGGCGAAGGCAGCCCCCUGGGCCAAUACUGACGCUCAUGCACGAAAGCGUGGGGAGCAAACAGGAUUAGAUACCCUGGUAGUCCACGCCCUAAACGAUGUCAACUAGUUGUUGGGGAUUCAUUUCCUAGUAACGUAGCUAACGCGUGAAGUUGACCGCCUGGGGAGUACGGUCGCAAGAUUAAAACUCAAAUGAA
This 560-nucleotide ribosomal RNA is filed under the name uncultured bacterium. RNAcentral describes it as "partial 16S ribosomal RNA". It matches the Rfam family "Bacterial small subunit ribosomal RNA", at positions 355 to 909 of the family's 1533-position model. The record is from RNAcentral.